RNAcentral lists this long non-coding RNA (522 nucleotides) under Nicotiana benthamiana. Its description in RNAcentral is "long non-coding RNA (NBEN_LNC017576)". The record is from RNAcentral. Lineage: Eukaryota; Viridiplantae; Streptophyta; Magnoliopsida; Solanales; Solanaceae.
UUUCUUGUAAAUCUUAGAUUCUUGGCUUUGCGGGCUUAUAGCCAGAUUUUGCACUUCUAACUACUUUUAGCCACAUUGGUUAGUUUUAGAAUUUCAAAAUUGCUUGUUGGAAAUUGUGGGAAUUGAGUUGUGUCAGUGGACUCUACUAUUGAAAUUCUUAGAGUUCAAGUUGGAAUUUUUUUGUCAAACUUCUUUUAUGCUGUGAAAGUUCUGUUGAGAUCAGUCUUUGUUUGUUGGAGCAUUGUUUUGUGAUUGUAAUUCAAUCUAUGAGUUGUUCAUGGGCCAAUGCUUGAAAGAAAAACAUGCAUUGAACACCAAUUAUUUUUGUGCUAAGACUGUGGAGUUCUGAAGCUUGUUUUGUUGAAGUUUGCCACUUUUGUGAAGUUUUUGGAGUAAAUUGAUGGCUGAAAUUCUCCUAGUUUGAACUUGUUACCACUGGUUUCUAAUAGUUGUUGUCAUUGUUGAGUUUAAUAGAGGGGAUCAGUUGGACUAAAGAUUGAGCAGCUUGAAUUGUGAUUUGGU